This 214-nucleotide ribosomal RNA is filed under the name uncultured bacterium. RNAcentral's name for it is "partial 16S ribosomal RNA". It matches the Rfam family "Bacterial small subunit ribosomal RNA", at positions 1289 to 1500 of the family's 1533-position model. The record is from RNAcentral.
CAGUUCGGAUUGAAGGCUGAAAUUCGCCUUCAUGAAGCCGGAAUUGCUAGUAAUGGCAGGUCAGCAUACUGCCGUGAAUACGUUCCCGGGCCUUGUACACACCGCCCGUCACACCAUGAGAGUUGGGAAUACCCGAAGCCUGUGAGCUAACAGCUUGCUGAGGCAGCAGUCGAAGGUAGAAUCAAUGAUUGGGGUGAAGUCGUAACAAGGUAGC